Molecule: long non-coding RNA, 906 nt
Organism: Anopheles arabiensis
Lineage: Eukaryota; Metazoa; Arthropoda; Insecta; Diptera; Culicidae
Exons: 3
Source: RefSeq, a predicted model, not a curated record
CAUCGUAUUCAGUCUCCAUUACCGAUAAGCGGAACUCAUCGGCUUUAGAGCGCAGACCACGCACAUUUUGAUAAAACACGGUUAUACGCGUCGCUUGAUCGCUGGGUGCUUGAUGUAAUGAAGUGUUAGUAGCUGGUAUGUUGGAGAUGACGGAGCUUAUCGUAGAUGGUGAGUGUAUGAUGAGUGUCUGUGUUGUCGAAGAGAUUGCUCGGACCGUGUGAGUACCAUAUGACUGCGCUGCUGUGGUGCGGUUACUUCGGAAAAAAUUGAGCCAUUGUAGUUUGACGCGUUUUUGCUCGUGAUGUGGACGGAAGAGUAGGUGAAGUGAGAGUGCGAUUCAUAUCGGUUGGUGAGUGUUCAGCUUGUGUCUGCGAAGGUUCACGGAUAAGUGCAGGAAGUGCAUCCGGGGAAAAUUGGUUGCAGUGCUGGAAGGAUGCUGAGUGGGACGCGGCGAAUCCGGCAAAGCCAUCCCGAAUCUCUUGCACUACCGGUGGGACUAAGCUGGACUUCAUUGCUUCAACGGCAGCUGUGAGGGCGGCUUGAAAGCCAACUUGCAUACCCGUACCCUUAAACACUUUGCUUCGCGGAUUACCAAUCGCAUUAGUACACGCAAUGCAACUCCAGUGCAGCGAAGGCAUCCUUUUCACUUCGUCGAUCACUGAUAUGGGCACUUUCGUGCACGCCAGAUGAUGCAAGCUGCGGAUGAACGUCGAAGGAGCCACGAAUAGAAGCCGAAAAUAUCGUGAACACAGUAGUUAUCGUCAGGAAAACAAUACUAGGAUCGCGGGAACUGCACUUAUGGACUCAGCAAAACUAAAAUCGGUUAGAGCGAAAACCGAUUACACGGAUAAAAUCGUGGAUAAAUUCGGAGCGAUUAGCAGUAAACACACUAAGUUGGCAGCUGUC